This 252-nucleotide ribosomal RNA is filed under the name uncultured bacterium. Its description in RNAcentral is "partial 16S ribosomal RNA". It matches the Rfam family "Bacterial small subunit ribosomal RNA", at positions 524 to 776 of the family's 1533-position model. The record is from RNAcentral.
UACGGAGGAUGCGAGCGUUAUCCGGAUUUAUUGGGUUUAAAGGGUGCGCAGGCGGAAGAUCAAGUCAGCGGUAAAAUUGAGAGGCUCAACCUCUUCGAGCCGUUGAAACUGGUUUUCUUGAGUGAGCGAGAAGUAUGCGGAGUGCGUGGUGUAGCGGUGAAAUGCAUAGAUAUCACGCAGAACUCCGAUUGCGAAGGCAGCAUACCGGCGCUCAACUGACGCUCAUGCACGAAAGUGUGGGUAUCGAACAGG